This 82-nucleotide transfer RNA is filed under the name Trichonephila clavata. It matches the Rfam family "tRNA". Rfam says of the family: Transfer RNA (tRNA) molecules are approximately 80 nucleotides in length. Their secondary structure includes four short double-helical elements and three loops (D, anti-codon, and T loops). The record is from Rfam by way of RNAcentral. Lineage: Eukaryota; Metazoa; Arthropoda; Arachnida; Araneae; Nephilidae.
GCAGUCGUGGCCGAGUGGUUAAGGCGAUGGACUUGAAAUCCAUUGGGGUCUCCCCGCGCAGGUUCGAAUCCUGUCGGCUGCG